RNAcentral lists this ribosomal RNA (253 nucleotides) under uncultured bacterium. RNAcentral's name for it is "partial 16S ribosomal RNA". It matches the Rfam family "Bacterial small subunit ribosomal RNA", at positions 524 to 776 of the family's 1533-position model. The record is from RNAcentral.
UACAGAGGGUGCGAGCGUUAAUCGGAAUUACUGGGCGUAAAGCGUGCGUAGACGGUUAUCUAAGUCGGAUGUGAAAGCCCCGGGCUCAACCUGGGAAUUGCAUUCGAGACUGAAUAGCUAGGGUACGGUAGAGGGAAGUGGAAUUUCCGGUGUAGCGGUGAAAUGCGUAGAUAUCGGAAGGAACAUCAGUGGCGAAAGCGACUUCCUGGACCAGUACCAACGUUCAGGCACGAAAGCGUGGGGAGCAAACAGG